AGAGUUUGAUCCUGGCUCAGGACGAACGCUGGCGGCGUGCUUUACACAUGCAAGUCGAACGGUGAACUCGGUGCUUGCACCGGGGGAUCAGUGGCGAACGGGUGAGUAACACGUGAGCAACCUGCCCUUAGCUCUGGGAUAACUGCGGGAAACCGCAGCUAAUACCGGAUACGACCCAGGGAGACAUCUCCACUGGGUGGAAAGUUUUUCGGCUAGGGAUGGGCUCGCGGCCUAUCAGCUUGUUGGUGGGGUAACGGCCUACCAAGGCGACGACGGGUAGCCGGCCUGAGAGGGCGACCGGCCACACUGGGACUGAGACACGGCCCAGACUCCUACGGGAGGCAGCAGUGGGGAAUAUUGCACAAUGGGCGAAAGCCUGAUGCAGCGACGCCGCGUGAGGGACGAAGGCCUUCGGGUUGUAAACCUCUUUCAGCAGGGAAGAAGCGAAAGUGACGGUACCUGCAGAAGAAGCACCGGCUAACUACGUGCCAGCAGCCGCGGUAAUACGUAGGGUGCAAGCGUUGUCCGGAAUUAUUGGGCGUAAAGAGCUCGUAGGCGGUUUGUCGCGUCUGCUGUGAAAACUCAGGGCUUAACCCUGAGCCUGCAGUGGGUACGGGCAGACUAGAGUGCGGUAGGGGAGAUCGGAAUUCCUGGUGUAGCGGUGGAAUGCGCAGAUAUCAGGAGGAACACCGGUGGCGAAGGCGGAUCUCUGGGCCGUAACUGACGCUGAGGAGCGAAAGCAUGGGGAGCGAACAGGAUUAGAUACCCUGGUAGUCCAUGCCGUAAACGUUGGGCGCUAGGUGUGGGGCUCAUUCCACGAGUUCCGUGCCGCAGCUAACGCAUUAAGCGCCCGGCCUGGGGAUACGGCCGCAAGGCUAAAACUCAAGGGAAUUGACGGGGGCCGGCACAAGCGGGCGGAGCAUGCGGAUUUAAUUCGAUGCAACGCGAAGAACCUUACCAAGGCUUGACAUACAGCGAAAACUGUCAGAGAUGGCAGGUCCUUACGGGCGCUGUACAGGUGGUGCAUGGUUGUCGUCAGCUCGUGUCGUGAGAUGUUGGGUUAAGUCCCGCAACGAGCGCAACCCUCGUUCUAUGUUGCCAGCGGAUAAUGCCGGGGACUCAUAGGAGACUGCCGGGGUCAACUCGGAGGAAGGUGGGGAUGACGUCAAAUCAUCAUGCCCCUUAUGUCUUGGGCUUCACGCAUGCUACAAUGGCCAGCACAAAGGGCUGCGAGACCGCAAGGUGGAGCGAAUCCCAAAAAACUGGUCUCAGUUCGGAUUGGGGUCUGCAACUCGACCCCAUGAAGUCGGAGUCGCUAGUAAUCGCAGAUCAGCAACGCUGCGGUGAAUACGUUCCCGGGCCUUGUACAC
Molecule: ribosomal RNA, 1370 nt
Filed under: bacterium enrichment culture clone auto173_4W
Lineage: Bacteria
Description: 16S ribosomal RNA
Rfam family: Bacterial small subunit ribosomal RNA
Source: RNAcentral